GACAUAAAUUGGUGGCCUUGUCUUACAAAGAUCUGAAGCCUAGGGGACGACACUGGUCAGAACUGAAGAGGUUAGUGCUCUGAGGGUCUGGGCUACAGACAGGAGCUGCUCAUCUUUCUUUCAUCCAGAGUGUGUGUUCAGUCGUGUCCAACUCUCUGCAACCUCACCUUCGCUGGCCAGCCAGGCUCCUGUGUCCGUGGGAUUUUUCCGGCAAGAAUACUGGAGUGGAUUGCCAUUUCUCCCUCCAGAGGAUCUUCUCCACCUUGGGAUGGAACAGUGGCUCCUGAAUUGGCAGGCGGGGUCUUCAUCGCUUGAACCAGCUAGGAACCCUUUCACUGAGAGCUCUUUCAUCGUAUGCUCAUUCCGGGGGGGUCCCAUCGGCAUCCUGCGGAUGGACUUCAGCCUGGGUUGCCUCUAGCCCCUCGACCCCUCCCGGGGCAACCUAGUGUCUGUCUCGCAGCAGCGGGAAGCGCACCCGGAGCCCACUCAACACUUAGUCAAAGGUGGCGCAGCGAGUUUGAAUCCUGCACCCUUGGGGGCAGAGACAGCUGGAGCGGCAAGCCCUAGGCCCCGAGAAACCCAGCUAGUUGAAGUCUCAGCUCAGACUCUGAGGCGCCCCAGUCUGAAGAGGCGGUUUGUCUUUUCACCUAAUUCAAUAGGCCCAGGAUUUCCCAAGGGCUCAAAGCCGUGGGCUGAUCACAGACAGCCCUUCAUCGCCUUACCACACCUUCCCUGCGCUGGGAUCCAACGGCUUCCCUCUCCCCGACCUGUCGCUAUCCUCGAUCACCGUGUCGUCAGGCACCCCACCUCCCCCCGCCACCGUGACUCCACGAGGGGCCGCGGUAAUCUACAGCAUUCCAAACACACCUCGCCACCCCAGCCCUGGCCGAGGCGCCGUGCCAGCCCGCGUGCAGCGGGACUCUGCCGUUCUUCCCGCAGCACAGACACGCAGCAAUGCCCCAACACCUCCCGGAAAAACCCUUCCCCACCGCAAAGCAGUCUCCAGUCCCACGCGCUCGGAGUCGCACCCGCUCCAGGGUCACCCGCCUGGCGCCGCCGCCGCCCCGCGCGCCCGCCUCCGGGUCGUGGGGUCGGGUCUCCAGCGAUCAAAAAAGGCCCUCACUUGCGCCCAGCUCUCCGGUUACACCCGGGGGAGGCCUCGGCCCCACGCUCUAGGGCAGUCAGCAGCUGCUUUCGUUCUCCGGCUGAGGCGUCCUUUUCUUCCUCUCUGGCAGGCGGUGGUUAGCGGUGCACGGCUGCCUCUACUCCGGCCUCUUCCUCUUCGGUGGGGUCGCCUACCCGGCCGCGUGCGACAGUGACAGCUUCCAGCUGCCUGCCUUUGAGUCUCUCCCUUAGGAGAGAAUUGUGGAGGGGCAACUCUCCCCUCGCAGGGGUCUGCCCAGCCCCACUUCGGUCGCCCGCCGCUCUCCCUAGUGACCCACUCCCCUUUCAAGCCUGUUCCUCCGAG
This 1468-nucleotide long non-coding RNA is filed under the name Capra hircus (goat). Its description in RNAcentral is "lncRNA (ENSCHIG00010001881.1)". The record is from RNAcentral. Lineage: Eukaryota; Metazoa; Chordata; Mammalia; Artiodactyla; Bovidae.